Molecule: ribosomal RNA, 388 nt
Filed under: uncultured bacterium
Lineage: Bacteria
Description: bacterial SSU rRNA
Rfam family: Bacterial small subunit ribosomal RNA
Source: RNAcentral
GACGAACGCUGGCGGCGUGCUUAACACAUGCAAGUCGAGCGGUAAGGCCCUUUCGGGGGUACACGAGCGGCGAACGGGUGAGUAACACGUGGGUGACCUGCCUUUAGCUCUGGGAUAAGCCUGGGAAACUGGGUCUAAUACCGGAUACGACUCCGCGGUGCAUGCUGUGGGGUGGAAAGCCUUGUGCGGCUGGAGAUGGGCCCGCGGCCUAUCAGCUUGUUGGNGGGUGAUGGCCUACCAAGGCGACGACGGUAGCCGGCCUGAGAGGGCGACCGGCCACACUGGGACUGAGACACGGCCCAGACUCCUACGGGAGGCAGCAGUGGGGAAUCUUGCGCAAUGGGCGAAAGCCUGACGCAGCGACGCCGCGUGAGGGAUGACGGCCUGG